CCUACGGGAGGCAGCAGUGAGGAAUAUUGGUCAAUGGCCGGAAGGCUGAACCAGCCAUGCCGCGUGAAGGAUGACUGCCCUAUGGGUUGUAAACCUCUUUUGUCGGGGAGCAAAGAGAGUCACGUGUGACUCAUUGAGAGUACCCGAAGAAAAAGCAUCGGCUAACUCCGUGCCAGCAGCCGCGGUAAUACGGAGGAUGCGAGCGUUAUCCGGAUUUAUUGGGUUUAAAGGGUGCGCAGGCGGAGGUGCAAGUCAGCGGUAAAAUUUCGGGGCUCAACCCCGUACUGCCGUUGAAACUGCAUCCCUUGAGUGCGCGAGAAGUAUGCGGAAUGCGUGGUGUAGCGGUGAAAUGCAUAGAUAUCACGCAGAACUCCGAUUGCGAAGGCAGCAUACCGGCGCGCAACUGACGCUCAUGCACGAAAGCGUGGGUAUCGAACAGGAUUAGAUACCCCAGUAGUC
Molecule: ribosomal RNA, 459 nt
Filed under: uncultured bacterium
Lineage: Bacteria
Description: partial 16S ribosomal RNA
Rfam family: Bacterial small subunit ribosomal RNA
Source: RNAcentral